GAUGAACGCUGGCGGCGUGCCUAAUACAUGCAAGUCGAGCGAACAGACGAGGAGCUUGCUCCUCUGACGUUAGCGGCGGACGGGUGAGUAACACGUGGAUAACCUACCUAUAAGACUGGGAUAACUUCGGGAAACCGGAGCUAAUACCGGAUAAUAUAUUGAACCGCAUGGUUCAAUAGUGAAAGACGGUUUUGCUGUCACUUAUAGAUGGAUCCGCGCCGCAUUAGCUAGUUGGUAAGGUAACGGCUUACCAAGGCAACGAUGCGUAGCCGACCUGAGAGGGGGAUCGGCCAAACUGGAACUGAGACACGGUCCAGACUCCUACGGGAGGCAGCAGUAGGGAAUCUUCCGCAAUGGGCGAAAGCCUGACGGAGCAACGCCGCGUGAGUGAUGAAGGUCUUCGGAUCGUAAAACUCUGUUAUUAGGGAAGAACAAAUGUGUAAGUAACUAUGCACGUCUUGACGGUACCUAAUCAGAAAGCCACGGCUAACUACGUG
This 497-nucleotide ribosomal RNA is filed under the name uncultured bacterium. Its description in RNAcentral is "partial 16S ribosomal RNA". It matches the Rfam family "Bacterial small subunit ribosomal RNA", at positions 28 to 507 of the family's 1533-position model. The record is from RNAcentral.